GACUUAAAAAAUCCGUUGGCUUUAUAGACCAUGAGGGUUCAAGUCCCUCUACCCCCA
RNAcentral lists this transfer RNA (57 nucleotides) under Noteroclada confluens. RNAcentral's name for it is "partial tRNA-Leu". The record is from RNAcentral. Lineage: Eukaryota; Viridiplantae; Streptophyta; Jungermanniopsida; Pelliales; Noterocladaceae.